RNAcentral lists this long non-coding RNA (1022 nucleotides) under Macaca fascicularis (crab-eating macaque). RNAcentral's name for it is "lncRNA (ENSMFAG00000061450.1)". The record is from RNAcentral. Lineage: Eukaryota; Metazoa; Chordata; Mammalia; Primates; Cercopithecidae.
UUGUCCAUAAAAUAGACCUUUAUAAAACCUCGGAUUUGAAACCAAUAAAUUGGAGCUGUAAUGUAGUCUUUUCUAGGUGGUUUUAGGUCGGUUAAAUAUAAUAGAAAUCAUGAAGGCAGAAAGCCAAUUUGAAGCCAAAAUAACUAUUGAGAACAUUCUGUAUUUCAUUAAUAGGUAAUGAAAUUAAAUCUAUUAACUGCUAAAAUACAUAUUCUACUUAUUUACAUAAAACUUUAGGUCUAUAUAACUAUCAUGCUUCCAAAAAUAACAGCCUGGCCAGGCACAGUGGCUUACGCCUGUAAUCCCAACACUUUGGGAGGCCAAGAAGGGCGGAUCACCUGAGGUCAGGAGUUCGAGACUAGCCUGACCAACAUAGUGAAACCCUGUCUCUACUAAAAAUACAAAAAUUAGCCAGAUGUGGUGGUAUGUGCCUGUAGUCUUAGUUACUUGGGAGGCUGAAGCAGGAGAAUCGCUUGAACCUGGGAGGUGGAGGUUGCAGUGAACUGAGGUCGUGCCACUGCACUCCAGCUUGGGCAACAGAAUGACUCCACCUCAAAAACAAAUAGCCCAACAGCACAAUACUUUUAAAACAUGUUUUGAUGAAAUCCACAAAGGAAUAAUCUUUAUCCCCUUGUCCCUAAACCAUCUUCUCAAAUUUUGUGCCUGAAUUGAAAUUUUUGUGCCAGGAGAGAGUUAGAAGAUAAUACAGAUGGCCAGGCGCGGUGGUUCAUGCCUGUAAUCCCAGCACUUUGAGAGGCCAAGGCGGGUGGAUCACAAGGUCAGGAGUUCAAGACCAGCCUGACCAACAUGGUAAAACCCUGUCUCUACUAAAAAUACAAAAAUUAGCCGGGGGUAGUAGCGCUUGCUUGUAAUCCAGCUACUCAGGAGACUGAGGCAGGAGAAUCAUUUGAACCCAUGAGGCAGAGGUUGCAGUGAGCCGAGAUCGUGCCAUUGCAUUCCAGCCUGAGCGACAGAGCGAGACUCUGUCUCAAAAAAAAAAAAGAAAAGAAAAGAAAAAAAAG